RNAcentral lists this long non-coding RNA (1059 nucleotides) under Anolis carolinensis (green anole). RNAcentral describes it as "lncRNA (ENSACAG00000041746.1)". The record is from RNAcentral. Lineage: Eukaryota; Metazoa; Chordata; Lepidosauria; Squamata; Anolidae.
CUGGACCUGGUUGUGGUCACUAGGAGGCGCCUGGUGAAGAUGGCAUCCCGACCUCCUCGAAAUCCUCCUGACCUCCUACACCGCUUGCAAGGUCGCUGGAAUCCGUGCCAGGAUCCAUCAAGAGUGCUCCUGAACCAGAACCAGCCCCCACCAGCGGUGAGGAAGACAGAGACCUGUGGACUGCUGAGCUGGGAGACGACCUGAGGGUGUUGUUCCGGAAAACACCUCCUCAGGGCCUGCCGCCCGCAAACUGUCCUGACCCACACCCUCCCGAGGCCCGGAGAAAGACCAAACGCCAGAGACGAAAGCACAAGACCCCCUCCGAGGACCCCUCCAAAUCCCAUCCCUCUAGCACCACGGGAACACCCCUUUUUGGACCUACAAACAUUUGACAGCUCGACUUGACAGCUGUCAAGUUCACCUGCCAGCUGAUCGGAUCUCUCAUUUCAACCCCCACACGGAAAAGCCGGCUCUGCGAUACCGCUGGGAGCUGUCCUUGGUACCACGUCAGGAGCCGUGAGUUCUAAUUUUCUCUCUAUUUUUUUUCUCUCUGUUUCUUCCCUAUCUUUCACCGCUGGGAGCUGUCCAGCGUGCUAAUCCUAAAAAUGCUAACCCUAAUUCUCAUUUUUUCCCUAACCCUCCCUGUCAAUUCUAGCCCGGUUUUGUAUGAAUGGCUCUCUUCUAAAGUACUGGUUGAGGAAAGGGAUUUCUCCUCUUUCUAGCUGUAAUCCUCUUUCUUCUAAUAAUAAGCUGCUGCUGGUCGCAUUUGCCCGCUCUGUUCCAAAUUUGUCGCAAAAAGAACUAUUCGAACCCCUCUCAACAGAUGGCCAUGCUGCCACUGAGAGGUUACAAUGCUUAUGCGGUAGGGCAGGGGAGAAAUGGGCCCCUCCCAUUUCGCCCCGCCCUCCCGAGUGGGGAUAUGAUGACCGUGGCGCCAGCUUUCAAAUUGAUUUGAACCCGCAGCGGAGAGUUCCGCAGAUCCAUCACCAAAGGAACGGAGCGGGACCGCAGCAGACUAUUAUUAAAAGAUCUUUUUUUCUUCACUUUCCCCUUCCCUGA